AGCAGCCGCGGUAAUUCCAGCUCCAAUAGCGUAUAUUAAAGUUGUUGCAGUUAAAAAGCUCGUAGUUGAACUUCAGGCCUGUCCAGAUGGUCCGCCUUAAUUGGUGUGUACUGUCCUUGGGUGGGUCCUACCUUCUGGCGAAGCGGCAUGGCCUUAGUUGGUUGUGUCGGGGAACCAGGACUUUUACUGUGAAAAAAUUAGAGUGUUCAAAGCAGGCAUAUAUGCUCGAAUACAUUAGCAUGGAAUAAUGGAAUAGGACGAUGGUUCUAUUUUGUUGGUUCUAGGACCGUUGUAAUGAUUAAUAGGGAUAGUUGGGGGCAUUAGUAUUCAAUUGUCAGAGGUGAAAUUCUUGGAUUUAUUGAAGACUAACUACUGCGAAAGCAUUUGCCAAGGAUGUUUCCAUUAAUCAAGAACGAAAGUUAGGGGAUCGAAGACGAUCAGAUACCGUCGUAGUCUUAACCAUAAACUAUGCCGACUAGGAAUCGGGCGAUGUUGACAAAAAUGACUCGCUCGGCACCUC
Molecule: unclassified non-coding RNA, 520 nt
Filed under: uncultured Paraglomus
Lineage: Eukaryota; Fungi; Glomeromycota; Glomeromycetes; Paraglomerales; Paraglomeraceae
Description: bacterial SSU rRNA
Rfam family: Eukaryotic small subunit ribosomal RNA
Source: RNAcentral